CCUGCACAUAGGUCAAUCAUUGUGGUUACUAGUUCUGUGUCCCCUGAGCAGUCUGGCUGGCUGGCACUGUCCUUGCUCUCUAGGAAUUGCUGUCUGAAAUGUAUAUAUAGCAUGAUGCAUCUCGGCAAUCUGCAAAAUAGGAUUUGGGAUCACCAAAAUAUAAACUCCAGUACCAACCAAACUUGAGUCUAUCCAUGGAAUCGUAGAAAAAGAAUAAUCACAUAAUUGCUGCCAGAUUCCAUCAAAGAGCUCUUUAUUCAGGGAAGAUGCUGCCUUGCCCAGCUUAUGUGAGUUUCCCUGUGACUUCUCAGAAAUAUCAUUUGUGUAGAAUGAAGUCUGUGUCUGCCCAUUAGAAUAAGAUUCCAUUAAAUAACUAAAUCAUAUUCCACGUUCAUCCAGCUACUUCCUGAUGAUUUGGCUUUCCUGAUAGUUUUCUAAGAAAAGAGAAUCUGUUGGUCAGUUUAGUGGAGUGUCAUUGGUUGACACUUGCUGUAUAUUAAUUAGGUGGUUUAUUUAUCA
RNAcentral lists this long non-coding RNA (519 nucleotides) under Canis lupus familiaris (dog). RNAcentral describes it as "lncRNA (ENSCAFG00000053622.1)". Lineage: Eukaryota; Metazoa; Chordata; Mammalia; Carnivora; Canidae. The record is from RNAcentral.